UACGGGGGGGGCAAGCGUUGUUCGGAAUUACUGGGCGUAAAGGGCUCGUAGGUGGCCAACUAAGUCAGACGUGAAAUCCCUCGGCUUAACCGGGGAACUGCGUCUGAUACUGGAUGGCUUGAGUUCGGGAGAGGGAUGCGGAAUUCCAGGUGUAGCGGUGAAAUGCGUAGAUAUUGGGAGGAACACCAGUGGCGAAGGCGGCUCGCUGGACCGGUUCUGACGCUGAGGCGCGAAAGCGUGGGGAGCAAACAGG
This 253-nucleotide ribosomal RNA is filed under the name uncultured bacterium. RNAcentral describes it as "partial 16S ribosomal RNA". It matches the Rfam family "Bacterial small subunit ribosomal RNA", at positions 524 to 776 of the family's 1533-position model. The record is from RNAcentral.